This 429-nucleotide ribosomal RNA is filed under the name Pseudomonadota bacterium. RNAcentral describes it as "Proteobacteria bacterium partial 16S ribosomal RNA". It matches the Rfam family "Bacterial small subunit ribosomal RNA", at positions 355 to 776 of the family's 1533-position model. The record is from RNAcentral. Lineage: Bacteria; Pseudomonadati; Pseudomonadota.
UGGGGAGUAUUGGACAAUGGGCGAAAGCCUGAUCCAGCCAUGCCGCGUGUGUGAAGAAGGUCUUCGGAUUGUAAAGCACUUUAAGUUGGGAGGAAGGGCAGUAAGCGAAUACCUUGCUGUUUUGACGUUACCGACAGAAUAAGCACCGGCUAACUCUGUGCCAGCAGCCGCGGUAAUACAGAGGGUGCAAGCGUUAAUCGGAAUUACUGGGCGUAAAGCGCGCGUAGGUGGUUCGUUAAGUCGAAUGUGAAAGCCCCGGGCUCAACCUGGGAACUGCAUCCAAAACUGGCGAGCUAGAGUAGGGCAGAGGGUGGUGGAAUUUCCUGUGUAGCGGUGAAAUGCGUAGAUAUAGGAAGGAACACCAGUGGCGAAGGCGACCACCUGGGCUCAUACUGACACUGAGGUGCGAAAGCGUGGGGAGCAAACAGG